RNAcentral lists this long non-coding RNA (544 nucleotides) under Populus trichocarpa (black cottonwood). RNAcentral describes it as "long non-coding RNA (PTRI_LNC003462)". The record is from RNAcentral. Lineage: Eukaryota; Viridiplantae; Streptophyta; Magnoliopsida; Malpighiales; Salicaceae.
CCCUGUCCAUGUAACAACAUUCAAACAAACGGGCAUGCAUAACAAAAUAAAAAUAGGAUAAAAGGGCUAGAGUGUCUGUCUUCAAGACAAGCGCAAGUGAUAUUUCAGUUGUUCUCUCUCUCCUUGCACAAUUUCAAGAACUACCUCUUAGUAUUAUAAUUUAAGGUUAGCUUUGGUAUGACUUCUGCAAAAUGAUUUUUACUUUUGAUUCAAUAAUAGUUAUAAAUAUGUUUGGUUGGAUAAAAACUUUUGAAUUGAAAUCAAAAUCUUGAUUUAAUCAAAAGUUGAAUGUCUUUAACUUUUAACUGAUGCAUUGUAACUUAUACCGCAUUUCUUCUUUAAAGAGAGUUGUUUUUAAGUCAUUUUUAUCAAAUACAUUUCUAAACUAAAUUCAUGUUUUGCCCUGACAUGUUUUAUACUAAAAUAAAAAAAUCAUGCCAGACAGAUCUCAAACUUAACAUCAUGUAUGAAAAGUCUUACGGGUCGGGUGACCAAGCGGGCGGGUCGGGGCCAAAGUCCUUGAAGCAGCCAUAAUACAUCAUCU